CCUACGGGUGGCCGCAGUGAGGACUAUUGGUCAAUGGACGAGAGUCUGACCCAGCCACGUAGCGUGACGGAUGACUGCCCUAUGGGUUGUAAACUUCUUUUAUAAAGGACUAACACGAUGCAAGUGUGCCUUUUUGCAUGUCCUUUAUGAAUAAGGAUCGGCUACCUCCGUGCCAGCAGCCGCGGUAAUACGGAGGAUCCGGGCGUUAUACGGAUUUAUUGGGUUUCAAGGGAGCGUAGAUGGGUUGUUAAGUCAGUUGUGAACGUGUGCGGCUCAACCGUAAAAUUGAAAUUGAUAGUGGCAUCCUUGAUUACAGUUGGGGUAGGCGGAAUUCGUGGUGUAGCGGUGAAAUGCUUAGAGAGCACGAAGAACUCCGAUUGCGAAGGCAGCCUACUAAACUGCCACUGACAUUGAUGCUCGAAAGUGUGGGUAUCAAACAGGAUUAGAUACCCCUGUAGUC
Molecule: ribosomal RNA, 460 nt
Filed under: uncultured bacterium
Lineage: Bacteria
Description: partial 16S ribosomal RNA
Rfam family: Bacterial small subunit ribosomal RNA
Source: RNAcentral